AUCUCUAUUGAAGCAAGAAGACCCCCUGAAUUUAAGCAUAUAAUUAAGGGGAGGAAAAGAAACCAACUCGGAUUCCCCUAGUAAUGGCGAGUGAAGCGGGAAGAGCUCAUGUUGUAAAUCUCCAGCUUGCUGGCGAAUUGUAGUCUAAAGGUGCGUGCUCAGUCGUGGUCCCGGGCUAAGUCUGUUGGAAAACAGCAUCAUGGACGGUGACAAUCCGGUUCUUGCCUGGGGUCCCGCGGCGUACGAGCCGUUUCCGACGAGUCGUGUUGCUUGGGAUUGCAGCACUAAGUGGGUGGUAAAUUCCAUCUAAAGCUAAAUAUUGGCGAGAGACCGAUAGCAAACAAGUACCGUGAGGGAAAGAUGAAAAGACUUUUGAAAAGAGAGUAAAAUAGUACCUGAAACUGCUGAAAGGGAAGCGAUUGAAGUCAGUGUUGCUCCUGG
RNAcentral lists this ribosomal RNA (441 nucleotides) under Asterionellopsis glacialis. Its description in RNAcentral is "partial Eukaryotic large subunit ribosomal RNA". It matches the Rfam family "Eukaryotic large subunit ribosomal RNA", at positions 1 to 444 of the family's 3401-position model. Lineage: Eukaryota; Bacillariophyta; Plagiogrammaphyceae; Rhaphoneidales; Asterionellopsidaceae. The record is from RNAcentral.